CGGCAACAGCUCAAAUUUGAAAUCUGGCGCAAGCCCGAGUUGUAAUUUGCAGAGGAUGCUUUUGGUGCGGUGCCUUCUGAGUUCCCUGGAACGGGACGCCGGAGAGGGUGAGAGCCCCGUACAGUUGGACACCAAGCCUUUGUAAAGCUCCUUCGACGAGUCGAGUAGUUUGGGAAUGCUGCUCAAAAUGGGAGGUAAAUGCCUUCUAAAGCUAAAUACCGGCCAGAGACCGAUAGCGCACAAGUAGAGUGAUCGAAAGAUGAAAAGCACUUUGAAAAGAGGGUUAAAAAGUACGUGAAAUUGUUGAAAGGGAAGGGCUCGUGACCAGACUUGCGCCCGUCGGAUCAUCCGGCCUUCUGGCCGGUGCACUCCGGCGGGCUCAGGCCAGCAUCGGUUCUUCUGGGGGGACAAAAUCGGCGGGAACGUAGCUCCUCCGGGAGUGUUAUAGCCCGCCGCAGAAUACCCCCGGGGGGACCGAGGACCGCGCUUCGGCAAGGAUGCUGGCGUAAUGGUCACCAGCCACCCGUCUUGAAAC
RNAcentral lists this ribosomal RNA (535 nucleotides) under Myrmecridium hiemale. RNAcentral's name for it is "eukaryotic LSU rRNA". It matches the Rfam family "Eukaryotic large subunit ribosomal RNA", at positions 99 to 660 of the family's 3401-position model. The record is from RNAcentral. Lineage: Eukaryota; Fungi; Ascomycota; Sordariomycetes; Myrmecridiales; Myrmecridiaceae.